AGUGAACGCUGGCGGUAGGCCUAACACAUGCAAGUCGAACGGCAGCACAGUAAGAGCUUGCUCUUACGGGUGGCGAGUGGCGGACGGGUGAGGAAUACAUCGGAAUCUACUUUUUCGUGGGGGAUAACGUAGGGAAACUUACGCUAAUACCGCAUACGACCUACGGGUGAAAGCAGGGGAUCUUCGGACCUUGCGCGACUGAAUGAGCCGAUGUCGGAUUAGCUAGUUGGCGGGGUAAAGGCACACCAAGGCAACGAUGCGUAGCUGACCUGAGAGGAUGAGCGGCCACACUGGAACUGAGACACGGUCCAGACUCCUACGGGAGGCAGCAGUAGGGAAUCUACCACAAUGGGCGAAAGCCUGACGGAGCAACGCCGCGUGAGGGAUGAAGGUCUUCGGAUCGUAAAACUCUGUUAUUAGGGAAAAACAAAUGUGUAAGUAACUAGGCACGUCUUGACGGUACCUAAUCAGAAAGCCACGGCUAACUACGUG
RNAcentral lists this ribosomal RNA (492 nucleotides) under uncultured bacterium. RNAcentral's name for it is "partial 16S ribosomal RNA". It matches the Rfam family "Bacterial small subunit ribosomal RNA", at positions 29 to 507 of the family's 1533-position model. The record is from RNAcentral.